CUGGGAUGGUGCGGCCUCGGUCCCCACCGGGAAGGCAGAGUGGCCCAGCGUGGGCGGCAGAGGUGAGGGAGGGAACGCUGCUCUGAGGCCUUUUUCUUGUAGCUCCAGACAAAUUAAAAACCUCCUUACCGGCCAUUCAUUCUGAGGAGGCCUCUUCCUUCCUCCACAGGGGGGCUGCUGUGUUGGAAGCCGAUCGGAUUCAGGGAGGCUGGGCCUCCUGGAGUUCUCAAGGAGGGGGAGCGGCAAGAAUGGAAAGAGAGAGGCCCUAACCCUGAAGAGACUGGCAGGCAGGGAGUGGGGGCAAAGUGCAGCCCAGGUCACUGGGAAAAAAGAAAUCUCAAAGUAAGGGAGUGGGGGAAAGUUCCACUUUUCAGCCUAAUUAUGAAAGAGGCCUCGGUAGAGAGAGGCGGGGGAGCCCAAAGAAGAGAGAAAAGGGAAGUGAGAUGUUGCAGAGAGCAGAAAGAGAUUCUCAGGGGGCACAGGCUAUUGAAGGAACGCAGGCAGGGAAAGGUGCCGCCUCUUCAAACGUGGGUCUGUUAUAACUGAUUUUGAGAGACCUGGAAGCACGUUUGCCUGGGACUCCCAAAGUGGGAGGGCAAAAUGCCCUAUUAAGGGUGGGACGAAUUGAUUUCCCAAAGAAGCACAGCACCAUUUCCUCCAAAUGCCCUCUGCAGUCCUCCUUAAUCUGCCCUGGAGGCAGCAGGUGACCUCUGCACAGGCCCCUGGAGGCGCCUUUGUUCGGGGGCAUUCUGCGGCUCGCCCCGCCCCCUCCCCUUGCACCUGGGCAGCAGCCUCAAAAUGCACUUGUCCACCCUUGGCCGGCUCCCGUGGUGGGAUGGCUGAUGCCUUUGGAAAAAAAAAGAGUGCCUGCAAUACUUUAUCUGCUGUAACAACUUCACCAACUGUCUGGGUUCCACCCCGAGGAUUUCACUGA
Molecule: long non-coding RNA, 934 nt
Filed under: Pongo abelii (Sumatran orangutan)
Lineage: Eukaryota; Metazoa; Chordata; Mammalia; Primates; Hominidae
Description: lncRNA (ENSPPYG00000034226.1)
Source: RNAcentral